Molecule: ribosomal RNA, 458 nt
Filed under: uncultured bacterium
Lineage: Bacteria
Description: SSU rRNA
Rfam family: Bacterial small subunit ribosomal RNA
Source: RNAcentral
AGAAUCAACGCUGGCGGCGUGCCUAACACAUGCAAGUCGAACGAGAAAGUGGAGCAAUCCAUGAGUAAAGUGGCGCACGGGUGAGUAACACGUGACUAACCUACCCUCGAGUGGGGAAUAACUUCGGGAAACCGAGGCUAAUACCGCAUAAAACCUAAGGGUCAAAGGAGCAAUCCGUUUGAGGAGGGGGUCGCGGCAGAUUAGUUAGUUGGCGGGGUAAUGGCCCACCAAGACGAUGAUCUGUAUCCGGCCUGAGAGGGCGCACGGACACACUGGAACUGAAACACGGUCCAGACUCCUACGGGAGGCAGCAGUGGGGAAUUUGCGCAAUGGGGGAAACCCUGACGCAGCAACGCCGCGUGGAGGAUGAAAUCCCUUGGGAUGUAAACUCCUUUCGAUCGGGAAGAUAAUGACGGUACCGGAAGAAGAAGCCCGGCUAACUUCGUGCCAGCAGCCGC